RNAcentral lists this ribosomal RNA (468 nucleotides) under uncultured bacterium. RNAcentral describes it as "partial 16S ribosomal RNA". It matches the Rfam family "Bacterial small subunit ribosomal RNA", at positions 28 to 507 of the family's 1533-position model. The record is from RNAcentral.
GACGAACGCUGGCGGCGUGCUUAACACAUGCAAGUCGAACGGAAAGGCCCUGCUUUUGUGGGGUGCUCGAGUGGCGAACGGGUGAGUAACACGUGAGUAACCUGCCCUUGACUUUGGGAUAACUUCAGGAAACUGGGGCUAAUACCGGAUAGGAGCUCCUGCUGCAUGGUGGGGGUUGGAAAGUUUCGGCGGUUGGGGAUGGACUCGCGGCUUAUCAGCUUGUUGGUGGGGUAGUGGCUUACCAAGGCUUUGACGGGUAGCCGGCCUGAGAGGGUGACCGGCCACAUUGGGACAGAGUUACGGCCCAGACUCCUACGGGAGGCAGCAGUGGGGAAUAUUGCACAAUGGGCGGAAGCCUGAUGCAGCAACGCCGCGUGCGGGAUGACGGCCUUCGGGUUGUAAACCGCUUUCGCCUGUGACGAAGCGUGAGUGACGGUAAUGGGUAAAGAAGCACCGGCUAACUACGUG